ACUACUGUAUCUACACACCAUCUAGAAGUUUUUGUUUGUGUUGUCUCUUUCUUCCCGCCUCCUCUUCCACCCUAUCCCAGAGUUCCCAGUUGUCUUGAAAGCACCAUGAAUCCAGUGAAUGCCAGACUUUGAUGACAAAGUUUGAUGACAAAUUUGCCCACAAAGGACCGCCACGCCACCUUCCUGUACAAAUGCAGAAGCUGGGAUUUCUUGAGGUGAUCUGUAACACCCAGAUGACAGACCUGAGCCCUAGGACCAUGCCUCAGGACUACCUGGUAUGAUGACUCCUUGCUGUCCCCAGUCCACCUGGCCGUGCUGCUGCUCCAGUUUCAACUGUUCUGCCUGCGGCUAUGGAACCCUGACCUGUUCACCGGACGUGCUUGUUGCACCCUCGACAACUACUAUGAUUAUUAUUAUUUGACCAUGCUGGUCAUUUAUGAACAUUUUAACAUUUUAACAUUUUGACCAUGUUCUGUUAUAAUAUCCACCCUGCACAGCCAGAAGAGGACUGGCCACCCCUCAUAGCCUGGUUCCUCUCUAGGUUUCUUCCUAGGUUUUUGGCCUUUCUAGGGAGUUUUUCCUAGGGAGUUUUUCCUAGCCACCGUGCUUCUUUCACAUGCUUUGCUUGCUGUUUGGGGUUUUAGGCUGGGUUUCUGUACAGCACUUUGAGAAUAUCAGCUGAUGUACGAAGGGCUAUAUAAAAAUAAAUUUGAUUUGAUUUGAGUUG
RNAcentral lists this long non-coding RNA (727 nucleotides) under Salmo salar (Atlantic salmon). RNAcentral describes it as "lncRNA (ENSSSAG00000100027.1)". The record is from RNAcentral. Lineage: Eukaryota; Metazoa; Chordata; Actinopteri; Salmoniformes; Salmonidae.